GCACCUUGUGCUGGGGACAAUAAAAGGCCACUCAAAAAUGUUCAAACACAAUGCCACAGGUGUCUCACAUUUUGAGGGAGUGUGCAAUUGGCAAGCUGACUGUAGGAAUGUCUACCAGAGCUGUUGCCAGAGAAUGUAAUAUUAAUUUCUCUACCAUAAGCCGCCUCCAACGUUUUAGAGAAUUUGGCAGUACGUCCAACCUGCCUCAACCGCAGACCAUGUGUAUGCCGUCAUGUGGGCGAACAGUGCUGAUCUCAAUGUUGUGAACAGAGUACCCCAUGGUGGGGUAAUGGUAUGGGCAGGCAUGAACUAUUGACUACACACAUUUAUUUUAUCAAUGGCAAUUUGAAUGCACAAAAAUACUGUAAUGAUAUCCGGAGGCCCAUUUUAAGGUGUUUGUGACUAACAGAUGCAUACCUGUAUUCCCAGUCAUGUGAAAUCCAUAGAUUAAGGCCUCAUAUGAAUUGUAACUCAGUAAAAUCAAUGAAAUUGUUGCAUGUUGUGUUUUAUAUUUUUGUUCAGAAUGUCAGUUGGAGAUUUUGAGUGCAGUAUUUGGUCAUUUACAUGCAUAUGUUUAUACGUGUAUUUUGUUUAAUACAGUAUACGAGGAGAUCUAUAUGUCAGGGUGAGAGGUGAUGGUGUGUGUAUAGAGUAGAUCUAUAUGUCAGGGUGAGAGGUGAUGGUGUGUAUAUGUAGAGUAGAUCUAUAUGUCAGGGUGAGAGGUGAUAGUGUGUGUAUAUGUAGAGUAGAUCUAUAUGCCAGGGUGAGAGGUGAUGGUGUGUAUAGAGUACAUCUAUAUGUCAGGGUGAGAGGUGAUGGUGUGUGUAUAGAGUACAUCUAUAUGCCAGGGUGAGAGGUGAUGGUGUGUAUAGAGUACAUCUAUAUGUCAGGGUGAGAGAUGAUGUGUGUAUAGAGUACAUCUAUAUGUCAGGGUGAGAGGUGAUGGUGUGUAUAUGUAGAGUACAUCUAUAUGUCAGGGUGAGAGGUGAUAGUGUGUGUAUAUGUAGAGUACAUCUAUAUGUCAGGGUGAGAGGUGAUAGUGUGUGUAUAUGUAGAGUACAUCUAUAUGUCAGGGUGAGAGGUGAUAGUGUGUGUGUGUAUAUGUAGAGUACAUCUAUAUGUCAGGGUGAGAGGUGAUGGUGUGUGUAUAGAGUACAUCUAUAUGUGAUGGCGUGUGUAUAUGUAGAGUACAUCUAUAUGUCAG
Molecule: long non-coding RNA, 1204 nt
Organism: Oncorhynchus tshawytscha (Chinook salmon)
Lineage: Eukaryota; Metazoa; Chordata; Actinopteri; Salmoniformes; Salmonidae
Source: Ensembl